GUGCAAAGAUGAAUGAUUUCUUGAUGAAUAUCUUUGGCCCGUAGUGCAAAGAUGAACAUGUGUUGAGAUGAACAUGACCUACUGAUUAAUAUCUUUGGCCCGUAGUGCAAAGAUGAAUAGGUGUUUAGAUGAACAUGACCAACUGAUGAAUAUCUUUGGCCUGUAAUGCAAAGAUGAAUAUUUGAUUCUAGAUAUAUAUUGAUUGAUGUUACAGGGAUAAAAUAUCGACGAUGAACUUUUAAAUUCAUAUAUAGAAGAUAGUAGUUUGCAUUCUCUACUUAACUCUUCUAAUGAAUUUUUGUUUUCGCUGCAGUUGUUGAUUUAAAACUGGUUAUCUAUUGUAUUCUAUUAGAUUUUUCCAUGUUGGAGACUAACGAAAAUUUGUUGUAUAUUAUCUUAGUCAUAAUAUUCUUUACUGGGCUAGUUGAGCUCACCCUUUUCCUUUUUGUUCCAUUUUUCUUCUCAGGAGGCGAGAAUGUAGCGAGUACGAGUCGGGGUAUGGAAUGAUGGUUAUAGAGAGAGUUGUUUAGUAGUCCUCACCAUUUUUGUAAAAUAAUGUAUAAAUAAUUGUGAUGAGGA
RNAcentral lists this long non-coding RNA (579 nucleotides) under Panax ginseng (ginseng). RNAcentral describes it as "long non-coding RNA (PGIN_LNC006967)". The record is from RNAcentral. Lineage: Eukaryota; Viridiplantae; Streptophyta; Magnoliopsida; Apiales; Araliaceae.